UACGAAGGGGGCUAGCGUUGCUCGGAAUCACUGGGCGUAAAGGGUGCGUAGGCGGGGCUUUAAGGCAGGGGGGAAAUCCUGGAGCUCAACUCCAGAACUGCCUUUGAUACUGAGGAUCUUGAGUACGGGAGAGGUGAGUGGAACUGCGAGUGUAGAGGUGAAAUUCGUAGAUAUUCGCAAGAACACCAGUGGCGAAGGCGGCUCACUGGCCCGUUACUGACGCUGAGGCACGAAAGCGUGGGGAGCAAACAGG
Molecule: ribosomal RNA, 253 nt
Filed under: uncultured bacterium
Lineage: Bacteria
Description: partial 16S ribosomal RNA
Rfam family: Bacterial small subunit ribosomal RNA
Source: RNAcentral